UGGGGAAUAUUGGACAAUGGGGGCAACCCUGAUGCAGCCAUGCCGCGUGUGUGAAGAAGGCUUUCGGGUUGUAAAGCACUUUCAGUGGGGAGGAAAGGGUGUUGGUUAAUACCUGACAUCUGUGACGUUACCCACAGAAGAAGCACCGGCUAACUCCGUGCCAGCAGCCGCGGUAAUACGGAGGGUGCGAGCGUUAAUCAGAAUUACUGGGCGUAAAGCGCGCGUAGGCGGUGAUCUAAGCUAGAUGUGAAAUCCCCGGGCUUAACCUGGGCACUGCAUUUAGAACUGGAUGACUGGAGUACAGCAGAGGGGUGUGGAAUUUCCGGUGUAGCGGCGAAAUGCGUAGAGAUCGGAAGGAACAUCAGUGGCGAAGGCGACACCCUGGGUUGAUACUGACGCUGAGGUGCGAAAGCGUGGGGAGCAAACAGGAUUAGAUACCCCCGUAGUCC
Molecule: ribosomal RNA, 449 nt
Filed under: uncultured prokaryote
Description: bacterial SSU rRNA
Rfam family: Bacterial small subunit ribosomal RNA
Source: RNAcentral